RNAcentral lists this unclassified non-coding RNA (767 nucleotides) under Athalia rosae (coleseed sawfly). RNAcentral describes it as "misc RNA ENSAEAG00005007127.1". Lineage: Eukaryota; Metazoa; Arthropoda; Insecta; Hymenoptera; Athaliidae. The record is from RNAcentral.
AAUAAUUAUUUAAUUUCUUUUUCUUUUUUGUCUUUGUAACAAUUCUUCAUUUUUUUAUUUUCGAAUCAACGCUGAUCAACUCAAAUGACGUGUACGAUAAAUCUUACAGUAUAAUACCACAUUACUCACGCGAUUCUUUAAGUCUGAUUUGUCAUGCGACUGUCUUCAAAUUAUUACACAUACCCAUGUGAGAUAUUGUAUAUCGCCGGAUUUCAUUCUCGAUAACGCCUCUCUAUAUCAAUGUUGUGUAAAUUAUAAAUAUAUUGCAAUGUGGUUAGAUAAUUUUGGUACGCAACUGAACCACCAACAUCCGCCUGUUCCAACGUCACUAUAAGUAUGUACCAUUUCUCUGCGGCAAUAAAGUUGUAGGCCAGCACGUGCGUCAAUUGACGAUUUUAGUUUAUUUCUCCUUUGACUCGGGCACGCAGAUUUCUUGCGAAGUUUAUCUCGCAACGCCGUACCCUGGUGUACGCUAUAAUGUACGUACGUCCAUGAAUCCAAAGCAACGUGAAUAUGAUACAGAGAGAAAGAUAGAGAGAGGGAGGAAUGCAUAAUGGGUAACGAUUCUACGACGUCGCGAAAUACAAGGGAGGAAAAAAAAAAACCAAACCGAUGUGCUUAGAAUCUGCGACAUUACGAAUGAUUCACGAACAUAAAAUAUAUAAUCGUAGACACGUGGUUCGUUUUAGCCAAUUCUGAUGAAUUUUCGCUGAUUCAUAAAUGAAAAAAAGAAGUAACAUUAAGGGUUACUAGAAUGAUAAAACUGG